AGCUUUGUGCAGUGGCAGUAUCAAAGCCCAUGAGGGUUUAACUGAGGCGUGAUUACUCCGAAUUGAAAACUGUUUCCAAUACCCAGCCGUGAUGACUUGAAAAGUAGCCAGCAUUGGCAUUUUUUGAUGGUUUCUUGUGAGA
Molecule: small nuclear RNA, 142 nt
Organism: Spea bombifrons (plains spadefoot toad)
Lineage: Eukaryota; Metazoa; Chordata; Amphibia; Anura; Pelobatidae
Product: U4 spliceosomal RNA
Exons: 1
Source: RefSeq, a predicted model, not a curated record